AUUGGGGACAUUUUGCAUUCAU
Molecule: microRNA, 22 nt
Filed under: Macaca mulatta (Rhesus monkey)
Lineage: Eukaryota; Metazoa; Chordata; Mammalia; Primates; Cercopithecidae
Also listed under: 2 other names
Description: mml-miR-450a-2-3p
Gene: mml-miR-450a-2-3p
Source: miRBase by way of RNAcentral